UACAGAGGUCUCAAGCGUUGUUCGGAUUCAUUGGGCGUAAAGGGUGUGUAGGCGGCGCGGUAAGUCGGAUGUGAAAUCUCGGAGCUUAACUUCGAAACUGCAUUCGAUACUGCCGUGCUUGAGGACUGGAGAGGAGACUGGAAUUUACGGUGUAGCGGUGAAAUGCGUAGAUAUCGUAAGGAAGACCAGUGGCGAAGGCGGGUCUCUGGACAGUUCCUGACGCUGAGGCACGAAGGUCAGGGGAGCAAACGGG
RNAcentral lists this ribosomal RNA (253 nucleotides) under uncultured bacterium. RNAcentral's name for it is "partial 16S ribosomal RNA". It matches the Rfam family "Bacterial small subunit ribosomal RNA", at positions 524 to 776 of the family's 1533-position model. The record is from RNAcentral.